Molecule: long non-coding RNA, 1239 nt
Filed under: Gadus morhua (Atlantic cod)
Lineage: Eukaryota; Metazoa; Chordata; Actinopteri; Gadiformes; Gadidae
Description: lncRNA (ENSGMOG00000023339.1)
Source: RNAcentral
GACCGCUUCCUUCAAACCAUCCCUGACACUCCCCCUACUCCUGGAUACUGUCACGGAAUAGACGAGGGGACCCAAAUGCUGGACACAGGGAGACGGAGACGGAAUAAAGGAAAGGGGUUUAUUCCGUAGACAGGCGAGUAGUCAGACAAGCAGGGAUCAGGAACCAGCGGGGUAGUCAGACAGGCGGGGAUCAGGAACCGGCAGGAGAGUCAGACAGGCGAGGAUCAGGAACCAGAAGGAGAGUCAGACAGGCAGGGAUCAGGAACCGGCAGGAGAGUCAGACAGGCGAGGAUCAGGAACCAGAAGGAGAGUCAGACAGGCAGGGAUCAGGAACCGGCAGGAGAGUCAGGCAGGCAGGGGUUCGGCGACCGGAGAAUACUAGAAAGGGAAGGAGAGAGUUACUAUGGGGACAGGCUGCUGUAAUACUUGAGAAUGCUGGUAGGACCGAUACUAACUGUAAAGACGUAGCGAAGAACUGGCGCCGGCUGAUAGGAAAUCCCCGGCUGAUGUAGGGACGAUCAUCAAGGAUAAUUACGUCCAGGUGCGGGAGAAGGAGGCCCACCAGCGUCCCAUAGCCACUAGAUGGCGGCAUUGGACUGCGUAGCAGGACGCGACGUGACAGAUACACUGGGGCCAACAGAAAUUCUCUGGUGGAGUGGGCUAGCAGCAAAAGUCAACUAUAGCUGCUACCAACGGGAAAAUGGCGGUGGAGACACCUGAUGUCUUGGCCUAGGUGUUCUAACCUGAAACAAACCCUAGGUACCCUAGGUAGGUACUUACUGUUGCGCAGUGUGUCUGUGUUUCAAGUUCAAAGGUGGCCCCACGUUCAACGUACAUUAACCUUGGAUAGUCAAGCGCUGUGUUGUCCAUUAACCCUUAUAUAACCGCUAUGUCAGUGACACAAUUAGAACUAGGCAUUUUUUAUUCUACAAAUUCAUAUUAUAGCUGUGAGAAUUGUUAAGAAAAAUCCCCUUCAUAGUCGGAAAACCAAAUCAUAGGCUAGAUUCACCUGAAAUUAUUCAAAUGGGUGCUUACAACUUACCACAUUGAAUAAUAUUUUUAUAUUUAUUUUUGACUUGGCCCCAUGUUCGUAGGAGCGUGCUGGCACCACAUCUAUGGGGGUAAAAGGCAUGAUGAGACAUGAUAUUUUUUAGACAAUAUGCAGAAUCUUUUCACCUACGAAUUAACACGGUCGGUUAUUUUUUGCCAGCACGCCACCCUAGCCAUAUUAUGGGCAAU